UACACAGUCAUUCUGUACAAUUUGGGU
RNAcentral lists this small RNA (27 nucleotides) under Bombyx mori (domestic silkworm). Its description in RNAcentral is "ovarian small RNA-5928". The record is from RNAcentral. Lineage: Eukaryota; Metazoa; Arthropoda; Insecta; Lepidoptera; Bombycidae.